GUCCAUGCCGUAAACGAUGUCUACUAGCCGUUGGGGCCCUUGAGGCUUUAGUGGCGCAGCUAACGCGAUAAGUAGACCGCCUGGGGAGUACGGUCGCAAGACUAAAACUCAAAUGAAUUGACGGGGGCCCCGCACAAGCGGUGGAGCAUGUGGUUUAAUUCGAUGCAACGCGAAGAACCUUACCUGGCCUUGACAUACAGAGAACGACCCAGAGAUGGGUUGGUGCCUUCGGGAAUUCUGAUACAGGUGCUGCAUGGCUGUCGU
RNAcentral lists this ribosomal RNA (264 nucleotides) under uncultured bacterium. Its description in RNAcentral is "partial 16S ribosomal RNA". It matches the Rfam family "Bacterial small subunit ribosomal RNA", at positions 793 to 1055 of the family's 1533-position model. The record is from RNAcentral.